AACAGGAUUAGAUACCCUGGUAGUCCACGCCCUAAACGAUGUCAACUGGUUGUUGGGAGGGUUUCUUCUCAGUAACGUAGCUAACGCGUGAAGUUGACCGCCUGGGGAGUACGGCCGCAAGGUUGAAACUCAAAGGAAUUGACGGGGACCCGCACAAGCGGUGGAUGAUGUGGUUUAAUUCGAUGCAACGCGAAAAACCUUACCUACCCUUGACAUGCCAGGAAUCUUGCAGAGAUGUGAGAGUGCUCGAAAGAGAACCUGGACACAGGUGCUGCAUGGCCGUCGUCAGCUCGUGUCGUGAGAUGUUGGGUUAAGUCCCGCAACGAGCGCAACCCUUGUCAUUAGUUGCUACGAAAGGGCACUCUAAUGAGACUGCCGGUGACAAACCGGAGGAAGGUGGGGAUGACGUCAGGUCAUCAUGGCCCUUAUGGGUAGGGCUACACACGUCAUACAAUGGCCGGGACAGAGGGCUGCCAACCCGCGGGGGGGAGCUAAUCCCAGAAACCCGGUCGUAGUCCGGAUCGCAGUCUGCAACUCGACUGCGUGAAGUCGGAAUCGCUAGUAAUCGCGGAUCAGCUUGCCGCGGUGAAUACGUUCCCGGGUCUUGUACACACCGCCCGUCACACCAUGGGAGCGGGUUCUGCCAGAAGUAGUUAGCCUAACCGCAAGGAGGGCGAUUACCACGGCAGGGUUCGUGACUGGGGUGAAGUCGUAACAAGGUAACC
This 725-nucleotide ribosomal RNA is filed under the name uncultured bacterium. RNAcentral describes it as "bacterial SSU rRNA". It matches the Rfam family "Bacterial small subunit ribosomal RNA", at positions 771 to 1501 of the family's 1533-position model. The record is from RNAcentral.